RNAcentral lists this ribosomal RNA (488 nucleotides) under uncultured bacterium. Its description in RNAcentral is "SSU rRNA". It matches the Rfam family "Bacterial small subunit ribosomal RNA", at positions 26 to 521 of the family's 1533-position model. The record is from RNAcentral.
AGAACGAACGCUGGCGGCGUGGAUAAGACAUGCAAGUCGAACGAGCUUAGUUUUGUAGCAAUACAGAGCUGAGCUAGUGGCGAACGGGUGCGUAACACGUGAGCAAUCUGCCUUAAAGUGGGGGAUAGCUCGCCGAAAGGCGAAUUAAUACCGCAUGUGGUUGUAAAACCAAAGCCGGGGCAACCUGGCGCUUUUAGAGGAGCUCGCGGCCUAUCAGCUUGUUGGUGAGGUAACGGCUCACCAAGGCUUCGACGGGUAGCUGGUCUGAGAGGACGACCAGCCACACUGGAACUGAGACACGGUCCAGACUCCUACGGGAGGCAGCAGUGGGGAAUCUUGCACAAUGGACGAAAGUCUGAUGCAGCAACGCCGCGUGGGGGAUGAAGCUUCUCGGAGUGUAAACCCCUUUCGACCCGGAAGAAUGCCCGCAAGGGUAUGACGGUACGGGUAUAAGAAGCCCCGGCUAACUACGUGCCAGCAGCCGCGGU